CCUACGGGAGGCAGCAGUGGGGAAUAUUGGGCAAUGGAGGAAACUCUGACCCAGCGACGCCGCGUGCGGGAUGAAGGCCUUCGGGUUGUAAACCGCUUUCAGCAGGGAAGAAGCGAAAGUGACGGUACCUGCAGAAGAAGCACCGGCUAACUAUGUGCCAGCAGCCGCGGUAAUACAUAGGGUGCAAGCGUUGUCCGGAAUUAUUGGGCGUAAAGAGCUCGUAGGUGGUUCGUCACGUCGGAUGUGAAAAUCUGGGGCUUAACCCCAGACCUGCAUUCGAUACGGGCGAGCUUGAGUAUGGUAGGGGAGUCUGGAAUUCCUGGUGUAGCGGUGGAAUGCGCAGAUAUCAGGAGGAACACCAAUGGCGAAGGCAGGACUCUGGGCCAUUACUGACACUGAGGAGCGAAAGCGUGGGGAGCGAACAGGAUUAGAUACCCUGGUAGUCCACGCCGUAAACGGUGGGCACUAGUUGUGGGGGCCUUCCACGGUCUCUGCGACGCNGCUACGCAUAAGUAGCCCCGCCGUCGGGAGGUACGAGUCGCGAAGAAUUAAACUACAAAUAGAAGUUAGUACGGCGUGAGACGUCGCCGACGGACGACGACGAGGGAGGAGG
RNAcentral lists this ribosomal RNA (613 nucleotides) under uncultured bacterium. Its description in RNAcentral is "bacterial SSU rRNA". The stretch from base 1 to 523 matches the Rfam family "Bacterial small subunit ribosomal RNA", at positions 338 to 873 of the family's 1533-position model. The record is from RNAcentral.